Long non-coding RNA from Cyprinus carpio (common carp), 667 nucleotides. RefSeq lists it as uncharacterized. The transcript is spliced from 3 exons. NCBI's taxonomy places the organism in Eukaryota, Metazoa, Chordata, Actinopteri, Cypriniformes, Cyprinidae. The record is from RefSeq and is a predicted model, not a curated record.
CGAAUCCAGUCGCUGGACUGGAUUCAAUGUGACCUUUGCAAAAAAUGGCUGCAUUCUGACUGCGCUGGUAUCAGUCUUGAAACGAUCACAGAGGAAACAGCAUUCAGUUGUGGAUGUGACACUAACCAUGUGCAUACCUUUGAGAAAACAUUGGCACUACUGAAGAAGGGCUGGUUGGUUGACCUUGUAAUACAGGAUCAAGAAGUCUUGAGAUUGCACGAAGGCUUGAGAUCCGAUCCAGCAGGAUGUUUUUAUUUAAACAUCCCACAUUUUCUUCAAAGCUGUGGAUGAAACUUAGCAAAAAGUUUUGUUUUUUUUGAUGAAGAACAGGUAUUUCAUACUGUUUGCCUUGUUUAACAAUUUAUAGUUAAAAUAAGUUUAUGUUAUGCCUUAAGAACAGAAGACUGUACAGAUGCAUAAGAAAGUAUAUAUCAGAUGUUAUUUUAACAUCUCAUAUUUCAUUGGAAUGUAUUCUGUCAAUGUAGAUUUUCUACAGAAAAAUUAGAGAAUUAUGAAUGUAAUUACGAAUGUUAUUGUGUACAAAUUUAACAAAUGUUUUGCUACAGACAGAGAGGAUAAUUGAAAGAAUAUACACAGUAACACAGCUGCCUAGGGUUUCCCUGGACAACACAUAUUACGUUCUUGAAGUUUUGACCCCUGAGGUAUA